This 776-nucleotide ribosomal RNA is filed under the name Gammarus cf. balcanicus GcfBAL16a. RNAcentral describes it as "eukaryotic LSU rRNA". It matches the Rfam family "Eukaryotic large subunit ribosomal RNA", at positions 157 to 623 of the family's 3401-position model. The record is from RNAcentral. Lineage: Eukaryota; Metazoa; Arthropoda; Malacostraca; Amphipoda; Gammaridae.
UAAGUCAGCCACGAAUAGGCUAUCCCAACUAACGGCGGGAAAGACUCCACGGAGGGUGUAAGACCCGUGUGGGCGCGUGUUAAAGCUGUGUGGGCUCGGCCUCCAUUCCCUGAGAGUCGCGUUGCUUGAGCAUGCAGCGCUAAGCAGGUCGUAAACUCGAUCUAAGGCUAAAUAUUUCCACAGAACCGAUAGCGAACAAGUACCGUGAGGGAAAGUUGAAAAGCACUCUGGAGAGAGAGUCAAAAGACCGUGAAACCGCUCAGAGUAUAAGCCCAUGGCAGCUUGGAAGGCAUAUCGCUAGCGGGGCAUCGGUCUCCCUUCGCGGGGAGCUGGUGUUACCUUGCUUCUGUUGUGGCUCGUCAUGGUAGGGGGGUCAGGUCCACAUCCCGCCGUCGUGUGGGGGGUUCUUGGGUGUGUUGUGGUUUCUCGGUUGGCUUCGGCUUUCCGGGGGGCUCUUCGUGCUCGGUUCCCUUUUAGACACGGACGUUCAGACUCAGUUGCAAGACGCGAUAACCAGCCCACCACGGCACGUUGUGAGGUCACCCACAGGCUCGACUUUCGAUCGUGAGCCUUGACGCCGAGCAAGUCCAAUGCGUGUCGCAGAGGUUCCUAACCAGGCAAAGUUGCCAGGAUCGUGGAACGACACGCGCUCAACAGUCAGGUUCGGGCGGAGACAGAGUUCUGGUACGAUCCUCUUGCGACGAGCCGGCUUCUGGCCGACGUCCGAUGCUCAGGUCUCCCGCAUGUGCCGCGGGAGAUCGCCUUGACGGUCUGGA